Molecule: ribosomal RNA, 506 nt
Filed under: Sporosarcina sp. CL4.8
Lineage: Bacteria; Bacillati; Bacillota; Bacilli; Caryophanales; Caryophanaceae
Description: bacterial SSU rRNA
Rfam family: Bacterial small subunit ribosomal RNA
Source: RNAcentral
CCCUGGCUCAGGACGAACGCUGGCGGCGUGCCUAAUACAUGCAAGUCGAGCGGAAUGAUGAAGAAGCUUGCUUCUUCUGAUUUUAGCGGCGGACGGGUGAGUAACACGUGGGCAACCUACCUUGUAGAUUGGGAUAACUCCGGGAAACCGGGGCUAAUACCGAAUAAUCCAUUUUGCUUCAUGGCAAGAUGUUGAAAGGCGGCUUCGGCUGUCACUACGAGAUGGGCCCGCGGCGUAUUAGCUAGUUGGUAGGGUAAUGGCCUACCAAGGCGACGAUACGUAGCCGACCUGAGAGGGUGAUCGGCCACACUGGGACUGAGACACGGCCCAGACUCCUACGGGAGGCAGCAGUAGGGAAUCUUCCACAAUGGACGAAAGUCUGAUGGAGCAACGCCGCGUGAGUGAAGAAGGUUUUCGGAUCGUAAAACUCUGUUGUAAGGGAAGAACACGUACGAGAGUAACUGCUCGUACCUUGACGGUACCUUAUAGAAAGCCACGGCUAACUA